CCUGAUGGAGGGGGAUAACUACUGGAAACGGUAGCUAAUACCGCAUAACGUCGCAAGACCAAAGAGGGGGACCUUCGGGCCUCUUGCCAUCAGAUGUGCCCAGAUGGGAUUAGCUAGUAGGUGGGGUAACGGCUCACCUAGGCGACGAUCCCUAGCUGGUCUGAGAGGAUGACAGCCACACUGGAACUGAGACACGGUCCAGACUCCUACGGGAGGCAGCAGUGGGGAAUAUUGCACAAUGGGCGCAAGCCUGAUGCAGCCAUGCCGCGUGUAUGAAGAAGGCCUUCGGGUUGUAAAGUACUUUCAGCGGGGAGGAAGGCGAUAAGGUUAAUAACCUUGUCGAUUGACGUUACCCGCAGAAGAAGCACCGGCUAACUCCGUGCCAGCAGCCGCGGUAAU
This 399-nucleotide ribosomal RNA is filed under the name uncultured bacterium. RNAcentral describes it as "bacterial SSU rRNA". It matches the Rfam family "Bacterial small subunit ribosomal RNA", at positions 129 to 524 of the family's 1533-position model. The record is from RNAcentral.